AUUUGCAUCUAGGUUAUUUUCAUCCAUUUAUUUUCAUGAUACAUACAUAAUACAAGAAUUUGGAGCAGCAAAUACUAGUUACAUUGCAUGGCCAUCCUGAGGUGAUAACAAGCAAUUUUGUUUAAAAGCAUUAUGUGUAUGAUCUAUCCCUUAGAUUGCCAAAACCAGGAAUGUGCACGUGCAUGAGAUGGGAAGGCUGAGGUAAGACUUGGGACUGAUCGUCCUGCUUAUGGGAUUUGUCUGGUUUUGCAGGAUAAAGAUCGCUCCUCCAUUGCCAAACCAAAAAAGCCAACCUAUGCAAUUACUAAAAGGAGCUGGGGUAAGUUCAAUAUAACAUUUUAAAAUGUAAAAUUUGGUCCUGCUUGGUCUUCAGAAGGGGAAAGACACAGACAGAUAAAGCUACAAAGUUUAUAAUGAGAAUUUCAAACUACCUUUUUUUAAAGUGCCUAAUUCUGAAAAACAGAGGCACUAUAUUCAUCAUUAAUUCCCAAAAUAGCCAAGUAAAUAUUCUAAAACCUUCAAAUUAAAACAAGAAUGUGACUAAGUGAAGGGUUAUCCUUUCAAACUGAAUUCUUGAAGUGACUGAGUAUAUGCAACCAUUUGUAAGAUUUGCCUCUACUUCCUGAAAGACAGAUGUGCCAGUUUUCCACAGGUGAAGGCCACAGUGCUUAUUUUCUUCCUGAGAACAAGGACAGCACUUGAAACUCAGUCUUGUGCUGCCUUUGCUUACCUAAAGGGGAAGAUAAAGCUCAAUUACGAAUUGCCAGUCCCAAGGCACGGAAGCUGGCUUUGCCAUUGGCACAGCCCCACCAGCCAGCCCUGCCCGAGGUUUAUCAACAAAGAGUAGGCUAGAAAAGUUCCAGAACUCCCUGGUCUGCCAUGCAGCCACCUGAAAGAUUUAUUAGCAACAUGAACACUGCAUGGCAGGGGGGGUGGAACUUAAGAUUCUUUCUAACCCAACCCAUUCUGUGAUAGAUGAUUCCAUGGUAUAAUUUUAUUUAAAAGACCUGCUGAGCCGGGCAUACGCACAAGCCUGUGAGGAACCUCCGAGGAUGUGAAGGGCAUAGGGACUGGCUAUAAACUGAGUAAGCAUGCCAAAGAGCCAGCUCACUUUUAACAUUGUUUGCCUCUAGAUCAACCAUGGAGACUUUUUGUACAACCUUCUACAUUCCUAAUUCUACAAGAGGUAUUCAGGGAAAAGGGCUAUGUAACAAAACCCAGCAUGCCGUAACUUAGGUUGGGUCAGAAGGGAAGAAGCAUGAUGAGUACGCUGUUAAGAGUGGUAAAUCUGAGAUUUUAAUGGUAAUGGAGAGCUUUAGGACUACUACUAUGAUAAAACCAGAAAGCUAGUUUGGAGAGGAAAGAGAAGAAUGUUUGAAGUGCCAAAAUUGUGUUUAUUAGUUAAAAAAAAAACAAACCCCAAAACCUGAACUGACCAGUGCACGCUCACAAGAUCCAGCUAUAAAGCUGGGCAGAAAUGAAACCCAUCUCAGAGGCAGUGUAAAAACUGCAAAUUAAGUUUUUGAUCACUGUCACCAAAGUAAUUUCUGCUGUCUCUACGUAGUUUACUGAAAUAGCAGAAUCUGCAAGCUGUGAUUUAGGAGUGCUCCUGGUUUAAAUGAGGAGGGUCAAGAUCUGGACAAAAAGCUGUCAGCAGAUUUUUCAGAAGCUGUCUGUCAGCUGCAAGGUUAAAACUCUUUGCACAGGAAGCACAGUUUUCUUGGGGAUGGAUUAUUUCAAGCUCCUGGAACACACUUCCACAGGAAGCAAUAAACACCUUACAUGUCAUUUUCUUUUCCAAAUGCACUUUCACCUUGUUUUUACUAACAAAUACAUAGGGAAUUAGCAUAACAAAGUGCAUUUGACACAAUGAGUCCUUGCUGACUGAUGGAUGGGAGAGCGCUCACAUACAACUAUAAUUAACACCACAAUAAAUGCAUUUAUUGACUCGGUAAGGUUAGAAGUUUAUAGUAGUAGUGUGGAGUAGCUUACAGUACUCAGCUGAAAAAACUAAAUAACAUUAUUGCUUUUUAAUACCAUGGACUAGAUUAUGCAUAUUUUUACUGUGAUACUUUUAAGGAAUAGAUCAACUGCAUUUUUUGUAUAGGCAUGCUGGGGAAGAAGUAUUGCCUUUAGAGCAAAAUUAACAUUCACCAUUAAAGAACAGUGCAAAAAAAAAACCUGCUGAAAAAUUUACAGUAAGCCACUAAUUCUUAAGAUCUCACAGUUUGUUAAUAAAAUCACAAGUAUGUUCUUCUAACUUCUUCAGUAUGUUAGGCCUCAUUUUGAAGAUGUAUUAUUGCUUCAUCAGUAGCAAUGCUGCUUUCAAAGAGGACAUUUCUAGAGGCACAGACUUAUAUCUAUAAAGAAAUUUUGUUCCCUUCUCCCAAUUCCC
Strigops habroptila (Kakapo) is the source of this 2395-nucleotide long non-coding RNA. The record is from Ensembl. NCBI's taxonomy places the organism in Eukaryota, Metazoa, Chordata, Aves, Psittaciformes, Psittacidae.